Molecule: long non-coding RNA, 3444 nt
Organism: Brienomyrus brachyistius
Lineage: Eukaryota; Metazoa; Chordata; Actinopteri; Osteoglossiformes; Mormyridae
Exons: 2
Source: RefSeq, a predicted model, not a curated record
UGUCUCCCUUUAAGGUCUGCUCACAGGGUGAGGUGCCUGAAGGCCAAUCUGAGUGGAAGAUUUACUCCAUUUUCAGCUACUGCUGAAGAGGCAAAAUUUGCCUUAAUUUUUUUGUCAGGCAUUACUUUCCAUGUUAACAUGAAAACAGCUGAUGGCAUGGUUAUGCAAAUUCUUUUGAAUCUCUGGCUCUUUUUUAAAUCUUUCAACAAAUUCCCAAUUGGCUGAGAUACUCUAUUGUUAUUGAAAUAAUUCUAGUAAAACUUGGUAUAUUUCAUUCAAAAUUAAGAAAAGUGCACUGUAUUACGAUGAUUGAAACUUUCCAAGGAAAUAUUUGGCGUACGAUUUAAACGUUCCUGUUUAUUUUCCUCGUUGCGUGCCUGUUGUCACGGCGUAAUCUGAUUGGCUGGAUGCAUUAUCCGCCGCGAUCUGAAUGCCAGAUUUGACGAAUUAAAAUGCCGCGAGGGUAAUGCGGCGUGUCAUUCUGAGUUCAGCGGCGGCGUUAACGCGAACAAUCGCGGUUUAUCACGGGUAUCUCCUAGACGCAGCUGCCAUUCGGCGGGACUCCCGGUAGACUGCGCCGUGUUCCCGCCGCGCAAUGCUCACCAGUGCAUGAUAGAAUGCUCUUCGUUCGCCAGGACGGUGAGGCCUCUGAUCGUAUGAAGACAAAACGGGUGGUAAAUUCGAUUCUCUCCCUUCGCUGCAUGGCAGACCGCAAUCCUAUUUAUAUUUUACACUGUCCUUUGUGGCAUCGUAUAUAUUAUUUUGCUUUAUUAUGCUUUUUUACAGACAUAACAAUGAUUUAUUUAUUUUUCUCACACUCCAAAUCACUCUGGCAUGUUUUCCCUGUUAAUAUAUGCCCUUAGGUCAAUCUCUGUAUUACUAAGUAUCUCUGUGAUACAAUACGUUUCAUUACAAAUGAAAACCUGUCUAGUUAUAACAACAUGCAAGGAGUAGUUUACUUUUCUUACACUUGACGUCACUUUCGCACGUUUUCCAUCUUUAAGUCUGUCCUUAGGUCACUGUAUUAUUAAGAAUAUCUGUGAUUACGUAUCACGUAACACUCACAAUACGUAAUCUCAAACGAAAACCUGUAUACCUGUGUCUAAAUGCGAGAACCGAGUUGUUUUUUCUAUAUUCAGUUACUUUCUUUUCUCAUCUGUAUGAAAAACCUUUUUAUUGUCGUGAUCAGUUAAAUGUGAUGGUUUGGGGGCAGGUUUCUCAGUUUGCUGUUAAUAAGUGUUCAUGGGUGGGAUACGUGUUGCUUAUAAUUCAUUAAUUACAGUAAAGAUGUCACCUUAGUGUUGUCCACCUGGGGGAAAAACACUCUCGAUUUCCAGUACCUGGCAGGUGUCCUUCCUGGACUUUUUUUGGAAACAUCCUAGGUCUCAUAUGACAGACUGGAGAUACAUCACAGGCUGUAAACAUACAUCUGGCCUUCAAACAGAAGUGUCUACAAACAGAGACGGAGUAAGCUUGUGAGAGAGGGGAUCUGCCAUCCCAUGCCAACAUGCUUCCCCGGAUCUGCAGUAAAGCAGGAGCUAGAGGCCAGUUUGUCGAGUGCAUUAAUCGCCACAUGCUGAGCUCACCAGCUUGAAGACUGACUGCUGAAAAUAAGUCAAAGGAUGGUAAAUGGCCUGUUUAUUCGGAUGCUGUCGUUUUCUUGGGCCGCCUGGGCGUUAUUUACUUUGGGGCUGACAGAAAGCUUGGGCAUGGGCAUGAAUUUAAAAUGUGUGCAUUUAUGAAGGAUACACUGGUUGUUUCAGGAAAUAUUAAGGUAAAUGGAUGGCUGGAGAGUUCCGAUCAUGCAGCAGCAGCAAGGGGAGACUCAAAGAAAGGCUUUUGAUCAAAAUCACAUCUCUGUUAAGAUUGUUUUUUUUUUUGUUUCCUGGUUUUCACUCAAUCAGUUGUUUUUAAUUAGACUUGGCUCAUCCGUGCCCUUCUGACUCCAAACAUCCAGCCAGAUGCCUUGUGCAGGGUGUCCACUUUACCCACAACAUCCCCGCCAAGACCAUUUCUUUCUUUAUGCAUUGCAAGUCACAUGAUAUGGAGGAUCCAGAUCUGAUUGGAUGAGCUGAACAACUGGCAAGCUGGAAGUGCCCCACCGCUCUGCAACAGCCAAUUAAGCAGCAGUCAGCUGAGACCCUCUGGCUGACAUUAACGGCUGGGUAGCUCCAAUUACACAUCCCCUGCUGUGGUACCUCCGGUCAUGCUCACCGCGAUGACUUUAGAGAAAGAGAAGUGAGUCGGCGUGAUGCAGCAUGCAGGAUGAGCGGAAGAGUGGGUAUGGAAUGCCGUGCUCUACCACUGCUCUGAUUAUCCCAGUCCCACUCCAAUGAUAAGAACUCUGCUACAUUGCUAAACAGGAAUCUGGGAAGGAUUGGGGAGAUGUUUUGGCCAGGGGCAGUAACCAGAAAGCCAGGCAGUUUAAUGCACUGAAGGCUCUGUGGAGAGGACUGUGAGAUCUCGAGCACUGACCGUACUGUCCUAAGAACUCUGUAGUUCAUUGAUGCUCUGAGACGGGUUUAUGCAGCUCCGGUUGAUGUUGAAACAUAGCGAUGGCCCCAUCAUGGCGAGAGUGCUCUUAAAAAGCCGGUCGCUAGCCUCAGCUGGUGCCACUCCUCCCUGCAUCUGGCCUCGCACUGUCGCCAUCUGGUUCACGCCAGGACAGUAGGGGGUGACUAUUUACGAGGCCUGGCCUGGGGGCCGUGUGGGUGGCCCCAUGCCCAGACUACUGCAAGGGGAGCGACUGUCGGGGGGUGGGCGAAUCCAACUCCAUCCCAAGCUCUGUGCCGCCUGGCACGCAAGGCCGCCUGGGUGCUUUGGUGAAUUCAUCUUCCGCUGUCACCAUGGUGCAAAAGAGAAUGUUGAGCAGACAAAAAUUCUGAAAGGGGGGAGGGGAGCAGGUCUGGUGGUGGCAUUUUGCUGGUAUAGUAACAUAGAUUUUCUGUCUGACUGGUAAUGGCAAUCUCAUUAGAGCGUAUUACUUCCAAAUCAAAUGUAAUCUCCCUCUCACUUGAAGUGGAUGGAUUCUCCUGAAGUGCCGUUAAUGUGCGACGCUAUGAGACCCAAACCCUUUAUUUGAGAAAUUAAAAUGGGAAAAUGCAGAUUCACCUAAAUUCUACAUGAUCAAAUGAACACGCACCACGCAAUUUUUAUGCUGCCGGUACUAAUGUGAUGUUUAAUUUAUAUCUAUAUGGAGGAUUGUGGGUAAUAUGAUCAAUAGAGAAACAGCAAAGGUGUAAUUAUGAAUGAGCAUUUCUGAAUGUUUUUUUUUCACAGCCUUUUCCUGACAAUGGUUGUCAUGCUUGUACUCUUCCAUGUUUAACGAAACCAAAACCAACAGAACGAAUUGGAUGAAGACCAUGUGACAGUUGCUGGAACAACUCUACACCGUGCUUAAUUAAAAAUGGAUUGAAGUUGAACAAAAUAAAACCAGCACGAUGA